GUGCAACCAGUACUUGGCCGAGAUGCUCACCGAGAACCAAAUGCUUGGGCCUUUGAUGCAGGUGCUGCCCAUAUGCAGCAAGCUGUCGAGCCAAGGUUGUUGGCACAUCUUAUAACCAGGUAACUUCCACUGGAUCCUUCUAUUAACAAGCAGCUAGACCCAAGGUUUACAUGAAGAGGGAGAAUCUCGGCAGCUGGAAUUCUGGGCUGGAAAAGGAGCAAAUAUU
Long non-coding RNA from Triticum dicoccoides, 226 nucleotides. RefSeq lists it as uncharacterized. Lineage: Eukaryota; Viridiplantae; Streptophyta; Magnoliopsida; Poales; Poaceae. The record is from RefSeq and is a predicted model, not a curated record. The transcript is spliced from 3 exons.